This 514-nucleotide ribosomal RNA is filed under the name Teleopsis whitei. RNAcentral describes it as "partial 16S ribosomal RNA". The stretch from base 271 to 429 matches the Rfam family "Bacterial large subunit ribosomal RNA", at positions 2473 to 2632 of the family's 2925-position model. The record is from RNAcentral. Lineage: Eukaryota; Metazoa; Arthropoda; Insecta; Diptera; Diopsidae.
AUGGUUGGACGAAAUAUAUACUGUUUCAUUUAAAAUUUAAAUAGAAUUUUAUUUUUUAGUUAAAAAGCUAAAAUAUAGUCAAAAGACGAGAAGACCCUAUAAAUCUUAAUUGUGCAUAAAUUUUUAAUUUGGAUUGAUUUUUUUAAGUAUAAAUUUAUAUAUAAUUUCAUUGGGGUGAUGUUAAAAUUUAAUUAACUUUUAAUAAUUUUAUUCAUUUAUUUAUGAUUAAGUGAUCCAUUAUUAGUGAUUAUAAAUUUAAGUUACUUUAGGGAUAACAGCGUAAUUUUUUUGGAGAGUUCUUAUCGAUAAAAAAGUUUGCGACCUCGAUGUUGGAUUAAGAUUCAUAUUUAAAUGUAGAAGUUUAAAUAUUAAGUCUGUUCGACUUUUUAUUCUUACAUGAUCUGAGUUCAAACCGGUGUAAGCCAGGUUGGUUUCUAUCUUUGAUUUAAUAAAAUAUUUUAGUACGAAAGGAAUUAGUAUUUAUUUUUUAGAAAUUUAAUUAAUGAAUAAAUUU